This 253-nucleotide ribosomal RNA is filed under the name uncultured bacterium. Its description in RNAcentral is "partial 16S ribosomal RNA". It matches the Rfam family "Bacterial small subunit ribosomal RNA", at positions 524 to 776 of the family's 1533-position model. The record is from RNAcentral.
UACGUAGGGGGCAAGCGUUGUCCGGAAUCAUUGGGCGUAAAGCGCGUGUAGGCGGCCCGAUAAGUCCGCUGUGAAAGUCCAGGGCUCAACCCUGGAAUGCCGGUGGAUACUGCAGGGCUAGAGUCCGGAAGAGGCGAGUGGAAUUCCUGGUGUAGCGGUGAAAUGCGCAGAUAUCAGGAGGAACACCGGUGGCGAAGGCGGAUCUCUGGGCCUUACCUGACGCUCAGGUGCGAAAGCUAGGGGAGCGAACAGG